CAAUAGCGUAUAUUAAAGUUGUUGCGGUAAAAAAGCUCGUAGUUGGAUUUCUACCGAAGAUAGCCGGUCGGGUCUUCGACCUUGUAUCUGGUUUUGUCUUUGGUAUCCUCAUAGGGAACGUUUCUGCGCUUUAUUGCGUGGUGCGGUAUCUAUGACUUUUACUUUGAGGAAAUUAGAGUGUUCACGGCAGGCAAACGCCUUGAAUAUAUUAGCAUGGAAUAAUAACAUAGGAUCUUCGUCCUAUUUUGUUGGUUUCUAGGGCUAAGAUAAUGAUUAAUAGGGAUAAUUGGGGGCAUCUGUAUCAACGCGUCAGAGGUGGAAUUCUUGGAUUUAUGAAAGACGAACUACUGCGAAAGCAUUUGCCAAGGAUGUUUUCAUUAA
Molecule: ribosomal RNA, 381 nt
Filed under: uncultured eukaryote
Lineage: Eukaryota
Description: partial 18S ribosomal RNA
Rfam family: Eukaryotic small subunit ribosomal RNA
Source: RNAcentral